Molecule: ribosomal RNA, 253 nt
Filed under: uncultured bacterium
Lineage: Bacteria
Description: partial 16S ribosomal RNA
Rfam family: Bacterial small subunit ribosomal RNA
Source: RNAcentral
UACGUAGGGCGCGAGCGUUGUCCGGAAUUAUUGGGCGUAAAGAGCUCGUAGGCGGUCUGUCGCGUCUGCUGUGAAAACCCGAGGCUCAACCUCGGGCCUGCAGUGGGUACGGGCAGACUAGAGUGCGGUAGGGGAGAAUGGAACUCCUGGUGUAGCGGUGGAAUGCGCAGAUAUCAGGAAGAACACCGAUGGCGAAGGCAGUUCUCUGGGCCGUAACUGACGCUGAGGAGCGAAAGCGUGGGGAGCGAACAGG